GACGAACGCUGGCGGCGUGCUUAACACAUGCAAGUCGAACGGAAAGGCCCUGCUUUUGUGGGGUGCUCGAGUGGCGAACGGGUGAGUAACACGUGAGUAACCUGCCCUUGACUUUGGGAUAACUUCAGGAAACUGGGGCUAAUACCGGAUAGGAGCUCCUGCUGCAUGGUGGGGGUUGGAAAGUUUCGGCGGUUGGGGAUGGACUCGCGGCUUAUCAGCUUGUUGGUGGGGUAGUGGCUUACCAAGGCUUUGACGGGUAGCCGGCCUGAGAGGGUGACCGGACACAUUGGGACUGAGAUACGGCCCAGACUCCGACGGGAGGCAGCAGUGGGGAAUAUUGCACAAUGGGCGGAAGCCUGAUGCAGCAACGCCGCGUGCGGGAUGACGGCCUUCGGGUUGUAAACCGCUUUCGCCUGUGACGAAGCGUGAGUGACGGUAAUGGGUAAAGAAGCACCGGCUAACUACGUG
RNAcentral lists this ribosomal RNA (468 nucleotides) under uncultured bacterium. RNAcentral's name for it is "partial 16S ribosomal RNA". It matches the Rfam family "Bacterial small subunit ribosomal RNA", at positions 28 to 507 of the family's 1533-position model. The record is from RNAcentral.